AAUAUAAUGGCUGACUUAAAAGUGAUAAACUGUAAAUUUAUUUAUGAGAGUAAUCUCUUAUAUUA
RNAcentral lists this transfer RNA (65 nucleotides) under Pselaphinae sp. 8 EF-2015. RNAcentral describes it as "tRNA-Tyr". The record is from RNAcentral. Lineage: Eukaryota; Metazoa; Arthropoda; Insecta; Coleoptera; Staphylinidae.